RNAcentral lists this long non-coding RNA (3045 nucleotides) under Mytilus galloprovincialis (Mediterranean mussel). The record is from RNAcentral. Lineage: Eukaryota; Metazoa; Mollusca; Bivalvia; Mytilida; Mytilidae.
AGAAAUUAACAAAUAUAGGUCACCAUACGGCCAUCAAUAAUGAGCAAAGCCAUAUCGCAUAGUCAGCUAAAAAAGGCACCAAAAUGACAAAUGUCAACGAAUUCAAACAAGAAAACUAACGUUCUUAUUUAUGUACAAAAAUGAACGAACAAUGAAUAUGUAACACACCAACAAACAACAACCACUGAAUUACAGGCUCCUGACUUCGGACAGGAACAUAUAUACAGAAUGUGGUGAGGUUAAACAUGCUAGGGUCUUCCCCCUAAACCUGGAACAGAGUUGUUACAGUACUACAUAACAACAAACUAUAAAAUUCAGUUGAAAAAGGCUUAUUUAACUUUAAAUAACAGAUGAAUGCAAAUAGAAAUACAUCUAAGUAACAAAAACAUAAUGGACGUUACCGUUACCCAACAAAAAAGUCACUAAAUACAGAUCUGAGAGUACUUGCAGUUACUGACAGCUAGUUCAAAGCCACUAACAACUAAUAACAAAAAUCAUGCAUCUAACUUCAAAGACUUAGUUCAUAGUUUUUUAUACUUCUGUUGAUUAUAUUUAAUCUUAGUUUUUUCCUUCUGUUAAAAAGAGAUUAAAUAACAGACGCAAUGUUCAACAUAUUUGUUUUAAGAUGGCAAAUUUGUGUUACAUUCGUUUAAUUUAUAAUAAUACACACAAACUAAAGAGACAGAAAGACAAAAGUUUGCCUCCAACGACAAGCAAGAAUAAACCAAGAAACAGAAAACAGACAAUUUUCCAAUGUCCUAUUUGGCUGGCUUUCAUAUUAUUCCCAUUGUUGUUAUAAAAUAGACAUGCAAAAUUUAUAAUAAAAAGUGAAAAAUGGUAUAGAAUAUUACAGAAUACAGAAAUGAAGAAACCACUUCAAGACCAGACCCUUUUAUAAGUUGCACAUUUUUUUUUAUUUUUUUUGCCUUUUAAAUCUUUCUGUUCGGACACCAUAUUGGUCCGACACCCCAAUAGCCUGACGCCCUAUUAGUCCGACGACCCAUUGGACCGACACACGAAUACUAGUAAUCCGACACAUAAUUAUUGAGCAAUACUUUGUAUGAAUAAUAUUUAUAUUUCAAGAGGAUAAUCCCAAUAGUUUAAAAUGAUCCUACUGAGAUUCCUCAAAAUAAUAACAUAUUAGAGUACAUGUAUUAAAAAUUUGCUUAAUGUCCAGUGGCAAAUAUUACAUGCAUGUUCAAAACAAUUGUUAAAUAAGUACAAUAGGUAAGUCCUGUAAAAGAUGUCAUCUGGGGUGAAAGGUCAAUGAAACUUGGACUGCCACUGGACAACGAAAGCAUAUUGAAGGUGGACAGGAAUUUGCCCUGCUGCAUAUUCAGACAAAAGGCCACCGACGGCCUCUCAAAGAGUUGUUGCAAUAGUUAUUAACCUGCAGAGAUCAUGGCACUCUCUUUCUAUACAUGCUAUAUGAGACAUCCGAUUAAAGGUGACCAAUCUUACAUUUGUUGAAAAUUAAACAUCCCGCACAAUUUUACUACCAAUGUUUUUACUGUUUUCACUGUAUCACAUAAACAUUAUCCGUUGUGAUGACAGACUUGAACUUCUGGUGACAUUUUCUUAGUGAGAAUGUGUUCACAUAUAUAUGGAACAAAUCUUGUCCUUAUGUCCCACGUAAGUGUCAUCAAUUACUCCUGAACCACUUUACAGAAUUUUGUAAAUCAUCGAUACAAUCUUUAUCUCAUGAUGUAUUUUUUCAAAGGACAAUUUACAAAGUGUUACGUCCAUAAUUAAUACCAUAACAAUGCAUGUUGGGAAAAACAACUUUCUAUAAAUGCAUGCAAAGUACUUGAUGCAGUAUGAUCUAUUGUUAUAGGUAUCUAAAAAUGGAUCCCACCAGAACACAAAGACUAAGUCUAUGAGGAAAAUAAAGUUUUAGAUCAACGACUAAAAAUUGUCAUGAACAGAUAAAAUAUGAGAUAGAGAUAGAACUGGUAUGAAAGGUUACAGUAGAACAUUGAAAUAAUUUGAAAGGUAGGUAUAUAUAUAUAUAUAUAUAGUUUACAACACGUCUGAACAUCAACCCAACAAUGUUAGAUCUGUAAAUUUGCGAAAGCAAAUUUUUGGUUCUUCCCUCGCCGGGAUUCGAACCCAUGCUACUAUACAUUAUGUACACAGCCAUGUAUCACCAUCAUUGAUGGCGAUCCGAUGGAUACAUCUGUUGUAGGGUUGUCACUGACUCAGACGUACUUAUAUAUAUAUAGUUUUAUACUCAAUUAUGAUUUUUUUAAAGUAAGAAUUUGCAGUUAUUCCUAUAAUUUUAUUUCAAUAUCAUGAAAUGUUGUAGUGUGUUCAUAUGACAACAAACCAACAACGAGCAAGUUCAAAAGAAUAAAGAGUAGAAAUACAAUUCUUCAACAAUUGAAAGAUAUCAUUAAAGUUAACAAAGAAGUCUACGGGAAGUACAUAUUCGUACACACAACUUCUCAUUUAACUGUUUCACAGAUUGCAUUGAUAUUGUGCUCGAAUAAUCAGAUUAUAUUAAUACAUAUGUGUUUUGGUGCCGAUCCAAAGAUGUCAGAGUGUUACAGCAGGACAUAGUUGAACUUAGGAACCUAAAGGAAAUAUAAACAAAGAUCUCAUUCUCUGUAACCGAAUAACAGAUUUAAAAGAUAGUAAUAUAUUAUAAUGAGAAUUUCCACUGGUACUAAUAAUGAAAAAAUUCACAAAAAGAAUACUUUUAUUAAUUUUUAAACUAUUGCAUAGUGUAUAAAAUAAUAAAAAGUUGUAGGAUUGUCACUGAGACAACUAUCCACCAAAUUUGAGACGAUGUGAAUGUGAACAAUAAUAUACAACUGUGCAGACUUCAACAAUGAGAAAACCCAUACCGUAUUGUCGGCUACAAAAGACCAUGACAUAAACAAUAUAUGAAACAAUUUAAUUUAGAAAAAUUAACGACCUAAUUUAUAACAAAACAAAUUAAAAGUGUUAAAAGUGCAGCCCGUAUUGAAAACAUGGAAUUUGCCAUGAACCCAGACUUGGGACGCUAAAAUUCUUCUCCAAAUCGUAUAAGAUCAGGCCCUGAAG